GAUGAAGAACGUAGCGAAAUGCGAUACGUAAUGUGAAUUGCAGAAUUCAGUUAAUCAUCGAAUCUUUGAACGCAUAUUGCGCUCUUUGGUAUUCCGAAGAGCAUGCUUGUUUGAGUAUCAGUAAACACCUCAAAGCUUUUGGAUUUUUUAAUCGAAAAGCUUUGGACUUGAGCAAUCCCAACACCAAUCUUUUUGAGAUCGGUGGCGGGUUGCUUGAAAUGCAGGUGCAGCUGGACAUUCUCCUGAGCUAAAAGCAUAUUCAUUUAGUCCCGUCAAACGGAUUAUUACUUUUGCUGCAGCUAACAUAAAGGGAGUUUGACCGUAUUGGCUGACUGAUGCAGGAUUUCACAAGGGUCGGCAACGAUUCUUGUUAAACUCGAUCUCAAAUCAAGUAAGACUACCCGCUGAACUUAAGCAUAUCAAUAAGCGGAGGA
Molecule: unclassified non-coding RNA, 434 nt
Filed under: soil metagenome
Description: partial contains 5.8S ribosomal RNA, internal transcribed spacer 2, and large subunit ribosomal RNA
Rfam family: 5.8S ribosomal RNA (bases 1-120)
Source: RNAcentral